CGACUAGUAUCCGUGAGGAAGUGGGUUCGAUCUCUGGCCUCGCUCAGUGGGUCAGGGAUCAGCAAUUCCAUGAGCUGUGGUGUGGGUCACAGGUGCGGCUCGGAUCCUGCAUUGCUGUGGCUGUGGUGUAGGCCAGCGGCUGCAGCUCCAAUUUGACCCUUGGCCUGGGAACCUCCAUAUCCCUCCGGCGCGGCCCUAAAAAGACAAAAGAGAUAGACAAAUAAGUAAAUAAAUAAAGGCGCUGAUGUUUCUUUAUUCCCAGCCUUUCUGUCCUAAUUACCACCCUCCCCUUCCCAUGCUCUACUGGCCUGUCUCCAUAUUUUCCUCAGAAAAUUCUUUGCAAAUUUCAUCGCCUCAGCCUUUGUCCUUUUGAAUUGAGAGUCUCGUUUCCUUUUCAUCCUUUUUUUUCCCCUGGGACUUACAUGUUUAUUGAAUUUUGACUUUAGAGAGGCAUGCAGUUGACUUACAAUGGUGUGUCGGUUUCAGGUGUACAGCAAAGGGAUCAGUUAUACACAGACCUGUGUCCAUCCUUUUUCAGCUUCUUCUCCUACACAGGUUAUUGCAGACCACCGAGUGGAGUUCCCAGUGCUAUACAGUGUCCUUGUUAAUUAUCUAUUUUGCACAUAGCAGUGUGUUUAUGUUCACUCCAAUCGCCUAACUUAUCUUCCCCCGACCCCGACAUUUCCCCUUUGGUAACCCUAAGUUUGUUUUUGAGGUCUGUGACAGGACUUUGGAGUCCCAGACAAACACAGGGGCCUUUCUUUCCAUUUCGAGGUUGGUUUAUUCUGGCUGAAGUCUUGGCAUUGGAGUGUUUGCCUGGCUGAAUCACUUGGGAUUUGGGGAGAAAGAAAGAAACAUCCAGCACCCCAGGUGACCACCUGUUUGGAGAACAGUGGAAGGUCUUACGGACCCUCUGACCCACGGGCAACAUGGCUGAGCUUUCACGUUGAGCUCUUUCAGCUGCAGACCCCGCUCUAGGGAAGCAGAGUGUCGGCUUAAUCCGACUGGGGUUCUUCUUGUUGGAAAAAUUAGAAGCAUAUCUUAGACGCUCCAAAGUCUUGAGGAACGUGCUAAGAGCAGGAGCAAGAAAAAGAGAGAAAUGUCAGAGGCGCGAGUGAGGGAGAAGAGGAAGCAAGUGACCUGCGAUGCAGUCUAGGAAGCACCCGUUUAAGUCCGAAACUCUAAGAAGGUCUCGAAAGUUGCACAUUUUCCUGUGCCAGCCGUUCCAAAGUCUAGGCACAGCAUCUGCAAAUGUUCAAUAGAUUCCACAGCAACAUAAUUUUAUUUUUCUACUGCUAGCACCCCUUCUGCUGAGGAGCAGAAAGUUACGUUUUAAGCAAGUCGUGGCAAACAAUCGGUUCAACGUUUGUUUUUGGUUUUUUGGUUUUUUGGCCCCCGCGGUCAUGGGGUUUCUCCCGCAUCCCUUCCUCUUCGGUCUGGCCUGAGUUCCGCGGCCACGAAGCAUCUGUUCUCCGGUGUCAGCCUCUCUUCUCGUUAGAAUGGACUGCGGUUCCUACUCCCACUCGUGGUCGCUGGCAUUGAUCGACACACCUGCCUCCAUCUCGCCCCCGGGUUCUGUCUAUUCUGGCUACUCUCCAUCUUCACAAAAGUCUCUUCUGAAACUUAAACGCUGACACUUGGCUCUUGUUUCUUUGUUUUUGUUUUGAUUUUUAGGGCCACACUUGCAGCAUUUGGAAGUUCCCAGGCUAGGGGUUGAAUUGGAGCUGCAGCUGCCAGCCUACACCACAGCUCACAGCAACACCAGAUCCCUAACCCACUGAGUGAAGCCAGGGAUCGAACCUGCAUCCUCAUGCAUCCUAGUUGGUUUCAUUACCACUGAACCCCAACAGGAAUUCCUUGUUUCUCUCCGCACUUUUGGUGUAAUAAUUCCACUAGGAAAAUUGUUACAGAUGUUGCCCCUGCUCCCAGCUUCCUGCUUAGCAAGUGCUGGGCUGGUGGGUGGCUGGAAAAACGCUGAAAACUAGAACCUUCGGUUACUACCUCACCGUAUCAUCCUGGUACAUCCCCCCAACACCACCAAGCACUUUCCUCCUCUCUGCUCCUCCCAACCCAAUGGACAACUCUCACUUCAAUCUCUUUAAAUGCUCUUCUAGGAGUUCCCACUGUGGUGCAGUGGAUUAAGAAUCUGAGUGCAGUGGCUCAGGGCACUGUGGAGACGCAGAUUCAAUCCCUGGCCUGGUGCGGUGGGUUAAAGGAUCUGGCCUGGCUGCAGCUGUGGUGUAGGUCGCAGCUGUGGCUCGGCUUGAGCCCUUGCCUGGGAACUUCCAUAUGCUGUGGGUGUGGCCAUAAAAAAAUGCACCUCUAGAUCUACCCACCAUUUAAAGGGAGCGUGGAACACAAGGAGGAUGCUUACAGCAUAGGGAUGCAGGAUGUGGAGCAAUUUAUAGAAAAAACAACUCCAUUUCUUCAAAGAAAUAUGGCAAGGAAAACUUUGCGGUGAAAGAAAAGCUGUAGAGUCAAAGAGACACAGAUAUGCCCGCCCAUCACGAUGCUUGGACCUUUCUUCAAUUCUGCUUAGAACCAACUAAUAUCGAAUUUGUGCAAUAACAGGAGAGAGUCCAAAACUCAUUAUAAAAAUCGUGAGAUCAUCCACAUGCUUUAAGCCAUUACGUUCUUGCUAAUGUGUUCCAGGGUCACGGAAAACUGCUAGAAGGUACUCACCAGUCCAUCAGGAUUCGUCCUAAAAUCCAGAUUCUAACUUGGUAGAUCUAAGGUGGAGCCUGAGGGUUUGAAUCUCUAACUAGCUCCCAGGCACGGUUACUGCUUCUGGUCUAAGACCACAUUUUCAGUAUAAAGGAGAGAGAGAGAGACGUUAAUUGAGAUUCCUCCCCACUCUAGGAAUGUACCAGCUGGAGACGAAAACCACAUGGGGAGCAAAGAAAAGAAGUUAUCACUGUUCGCAAAUAUCUAAACCGACUUUCACGAUUUCACUAAAAACUGAACACGUAUGCUGAACGAGUUUACGUGCCUAAGGAAGUAUUUAACAGAGAUCAUUUUCAAGUACCACUGAAGGCUCUGAAGGAGCCGUGCAAAGACUAAGGAUGAAAUGCAUGUUGGCGAUAGAAGAAGCUAUAACCAACUGCUGGCUCUGAGUAUCACAUGGGCGAUGGGGUGUGCGCGUCCCAGUGCAAGAGGCACCGGUUUCACACACAAGCUGAGCAUUUGGGGGAACAGGAGGUUCUUGGGUAAAUGAGGGCCCUUCCACCUCUCAGCAGAAGCCUGAACAUGCUCUCAGCACGGGGACCACAAACCGAUGCACGUCUUCUUCUGAAGCUCUGGACCAGAGAGACAAGUGCACAGGCGCUGGGCAGCGUUGGUGUGGCUGCUACCCACGAGGUGGCUUACGAUACUUCUCUGAGCCAUAAUGCGCUUCUCUCAAAAUAGUACCUACUGUACCUACCACUGUACCUACUCGGUGAGAGGCGUUAGAGAAAUACGACAAUUCCAUGGAGUAAUCCAUCUUUGGAAUCCAAAGGCUCCCUGAUCAAAUCCUGACUCCAUGGAAUAAACACUCUGACUCUGGGCAAGUGAGUUUACGUUUCCUGAUUACAAAAGGGGUGCGGGAGUUCCCGUUGUGGCUCCUCAGAAAGGAAUCUGACUAGCAACCCGGAGGACACAGGUUCAAUCCCUGGCCUCGCUCAGUAGGUUAAGGAUGCAGCGUUGCUGUGCCUGUGGUGUAGGCCAGCAGCUACAGCUCCAAUUUGACCCCCAGCCUGGGAACUUCCAUAUGCCUUGGGUGC
Molecule: long non-coding RNA, 3761 nt
Filed under: Sus scrofa (pig)
Lineage: Eukaryota; Metazoa; Chordata; Mammalia; Artiodactyla; Suidae
Description: lncRNA (ENSSSCG00000062447.1, ENSSSCG00110003528.1)
Source: RNAcentral